This 484-nucleotide ribosomal RNA is filed under the name uncultured bacterium. Its description in RNAcentral is "partial 16S ribosomal RNA". It matches the Rfam family "Bacterial small subunit ribosomal RNA", at positions 29 to 507 of the family's 1533-position model. The record is from RNAcentral.
UUGCACGCUGGCGGCAUGCCUUACACAUGCAAGUCGCACGGCAGCGGGCCCUUCGGGGUGCCGGCGAGUGGCGAACGGGUGAGUAAUGCAUCGGAACGUACCCGGGAGAGGGGGAUAACCGGCCGAAAGGCUGGCUAAUACCGCAUGAACUCGGAAGAGCAAAGCGGGGGACCUUCGGGCCUCGCGCUCUCGGAGCGGCCGAUGUCCGAUUAGGCUAGUUGGUGGGGUAAAGGCCCACCAAGGCGACGAUCGGUAGCGGGUCUGAGAGGACGAUCCGCCACACUGGGACUGAGACACGGCCCAGACUCCUACGGGAGGCAGCAGUGGGGAAUCUUGGACAAUGGGCGCAAGCCUGAUCCAGCAAUGCCGCGUGGGUGAAGAAGGCCUUCGGGUUGUAAAGCCCUUUCGGCGGGGAAGAAAUCGGUCAGGCGAAUAGUCUGGCUGGAUGACGGUACCCGCAGAAGAAGCACCGGCUAACUACGUG